Molecule: ribosomal RNA, 468 nt
Filed under: uncultured bacterium
Lineage: Bacteria
Description: partial 16S ribosomal RNA
Rfam family: Bacterial small subunit ribosomal RNA
Source: RNAcentral
GACGAACGCUGGCGGCGUGCUUAACACAUGCAAGUCGAACGGAAAGGCCCUGCUUUUGUGGGGUGCUCGAGUGGCGAACGGGUGAGUAACACGUGAGUAACCUGCCCUUGACUUUGGGAUAAAUUCAGGAAACUGGGGCUAAUACCGGAUAGGAGCUCCUGAUGCAUGGUGGGGGAUGGAAAGUUUCGGCGGUUGGGGAUGGGCUCGCGGCUUAUCAGCUGCUUGGUGGGGUAGGUGCUUACCAAGGCUUUGACGGGUAGCCGGCCUGAGAGGGUGACCGGCCACAUUGGGACUGAGGUACGGCGCAGACGCGUACGGGCGGCAGCAGGGGGGAGUAUUGCACAAUGGGCCGAAGCCUGAUGCAGCAACGCCGCGUGCGGGAUGACGGCCUUCGGGUUGUAAACCGCUGUCGCCUGUGACGAAGCGUGAGUGACGGUAAUGGGUAAAGAAGCACCGGCUAACUACGUG